GGGCCGUUAGCUCAGUUGGUAGAGCAGGAGACUCUUAAUCUCAAGGUCGAAGGUUCGAGCCCUUCACGGCCCA
This 73-nucleotide transfer RNA is filed under the name Actinomycetes bacterium. RNAcentral describes it as "Actinobacteria bacterium tRNA-Lys". It matches the Rfam family "tRNA". Rfam says of the family: Transfer RNA (tRNA) molecules are approximately 80 nucleotides in length. Their secondary structure includes four short double-helical elements and three loops (D, anti-codon, and T loops). RNAcentral also lists the same sequence under 4 other names. Lineage: Bacteria; Bacillati; Actinomycetota; Actinomycetes. The record is from RNAcentral.